GCAACCUCCUCCCCACCCUGUUCCCUCUACCGGUCCUCCACACAAUGCCACCGCUUCCCCCUCUCCCUCUCCAGUCCGCCACAACAUGUCCACUUACGCCUCCCCCGGUGGCUCCUCCUCCUCCCACUUCACCACCCUCAGCCUACCCCUCGCCAUCGCCGUCUCCCUCGGCCUCCUCGUCCUCCUUUCCGCCCUCCUCGUCGCCUCCUACGUCUGCUGUCGCCGCCAAUCCAGGGACCCCGACCCCGACCCCGGCCCCGGCCCCAGCCCUGCCAUCGCUGACGGCAUCGUCCUGCCACGCAUCAUCUUCGUCGCCGAGGACGACGAAGGAGACGGCGGCCGGGCCUCGGGGCUCGACCAGGCGGCCAUCAGCUCGUACCCUAAGUUCCCGUUCUCGGUGGCCAGUGGCGGGGAUACCGUCUGCUCGAUCUGUCUUUGCGAGUACCGGGAAGGGGAGAUGCUUCGGAUGAUACCCGACUGCCGCCACUACUUCCACCUCCUCUGCAUCGAUGUCUGGCUCCGGCUGAACGCGUCCUGCCCGGUCUGCCGAACCUCGCCGUUGCCCACGCCGGUGUCUACUCCAAUCUCGACGCCGUUGUCAGAGCUUGUCCCGCUCUCACUGUUCGCAGCUGAUCGCCGGAGGAGGAGUUAGGACUUCGCGGGAUAAUCGGAGAUAUGAGUUUGAAGAAGCAUAUGAGUAGCCAAAGGUGGACAAUAUAUCCCACUUCCUUUAUCCCCACAAUAUUUGGGUCUCUAUUAUCACCUUCAGUGGGAUCUAUAACACACUUUGUGAUAAAAAGGAACAUUGCUUCAAGUUUUCCUACAUUCUUGUCCUACAUAAUCUUUUCAAACCUAAACUACCGUAACAUGUGGUGGGAGUUAACAAGGAUACACACUACAUGGAGCAGACAUCUCAUCUGUCUUCGGUGGUAUACUCUUUAAACAUCUGUUACAUCAGAUUCCAAGACACUGGAAGAUUAUAAAUUGAAUUCUCAAUUUAGGGAAGAAUCUUAGACUGUCUUCUAAUAUUAAGCAAAAUAACUUCUUUUUUCUUUAGUAUUGGGUGGUUGUGCUUUCUAACAAGUUAGAAAUAGUUUGUAGACUUUGAUUGAAUAUCUAGCAUGCCUGUAUUUAAACAAGAAGCUGGAAGUUUCUUUUAAAUGUUGUGAAAUAUGUACGAUAGACCUUCCUCAUGCAACAA
Molecule: RNA transcript, 1201 nt
Organism: Musa acuminata subsp. malaccensis (wild Malaysian banana)
Lineage: Eukaryota; Viridiplantae; Streptophyta; Magnoliopsida; Zingiberales; Musaceae
Gene name: RING-H2 finger protein ATL67-like
Source: RefSeq, a predicted model, not a curated record